This 23-nucleotide ribosomal RNA is filed under the name Hyphoderma nudicephalum. RNAcentral describes it as "partial 28S ribosomal RNA". Lineage: Eukaryota; Fungi; Basidiomycota; Agaricomycetes; Polyporales; Hyphodermataceae. The record is from RNAcentral.
GCGUUUGACCUCAAAUCAGGUAG